CACAAGCAGCCAUGCCAGGCUGCAUGGGGAGGCAGGGGCGGCUGGGGUUUAGCAGUAGAAGAGGUUGCAGCCAGCACUUGAGCAACUAAGUGAGAGAACUAAGAGGAAUUGUGAAGGAGCCAUAUGUUUUACGAUGACCCCAACUUAUCAGGAGAAAGCUGAGUCUCAGAGACUUUUGGUCACUUGCCCAAGGACUCAAGUCAUUGUUUCUCAUCUCCAACUUAACACUCGGUGAAGAAAAUCACACUGAUAGUGGAGUCCUCUGCCAUAUAACUGGAGAAUAUCUACAGAUGCGGAGAAGGGAAGAAGAGACAUAGGAGGUAGGAGAAAGAAUGUCAUGGAGAAGAGCAGGCCUCACUGGUUUAGGAGACAUAUUUCAGGGGUUAUGCGGGGAAAGAAAUUGGCUCAAAAAAGGAAGAACUUUCUAAUGCCAAGGCUGCAAAUAAGUGGCUAUGUCAGAAAACGGCAAGAGGCUUACGCCCCUCCAUAGGUUCUUUUAUUUGCUUAAAAUACAGUCUUUCCUUCUUGGUA
Long non-coding RNA from Canis lupus familiaris (dog), 531 nucleotides. RefSeq lists it as uncharacterized. The transcript is spliced from 2 exons. Lineage: Eukaryota; Metazoa; Chordata; Mammalia; Carnivora; Canidae. The record is from RefSeq and is a predicted model, not a curated record.